AGACGUCUACAUUAGAUACCCCCUGUAGUCCCAGCCGUAAACUAUGCGCGUUAGGUGUAUCGGUGACCACGAGUCACCGAGGUGCCGAAGGGAAACCGUGAAACGUGCCGCCUGGGAAGUACGGUCGCAAGGCUGAAACUUAAGGAAUUGCGGGGAGCACCACAACAGGUGGAGCCUGCGGUUUAAUUGGAUUCAACGCCGGACAUCUCACCGGAUAAGACAGCUGAAUGAUUGUCAAUCUGAAGGUUUUACAUGACUAGCUG
RNAcentral lists this ribosomal RNA (263 nucleotides) under uncultured archaeon. Its description in RNAcentral is "partial 16S ribosomal RNA". It matches the Rfam family "Archaeal small subunit ribosomal RNA", at positions 717 to 982 of the family's 1478-position model. The record is from RNAcentral.